UGCUUACACAUGCAGUCGAACGGUCUUUUAGGAGACAGUGGCGGACGGGUGAGUAACGCAGUAAGAAUCUACCCUCAGGUCGGGGACAACCACUGGAAACGGUGGCUAAUACCGGAUGUGCCGAGAGGUGAAAGGCUUGCUGCCUGGGGAAGAGCUUGCGUCUGAUUAGCUAGUUGGUAGUGUAAGAGACUACCAAGGCGACGAUCAGUAGCUGGUCUGAGAGGAUGAUCAGCCACACUGGGACUGAGACACGGCCCAGACUCCUACGGGAGGCAGCAGUGGGGAAUUUUCCGCAAUGGGCGAAAGCCUGACGGAGCAAUACCGCGUGAGGGAGGAAGGCUCUUGGGUUGUAAACCUCUUUUCUCAGGGAAGAAAAAAAUGACGGUACCUGAGGAAUAAGCAUCGGCUAACUCCGUGCCAGCAGCCGCGGUAAUACGGAGGAUGCAAGCGUUAUCCGGAAUGAUUGGGCGUAAAGGGUCCGCAGGUGGCAUUGUAAGUCUGCUGUUAAAGAGUUUGGCUCAACCAAAUAAAAGCAGUGGAAACUACAAAGCUAGGAGUUUG
Molecule: ribosomal RNA, 561 nt
Filed under: uncultured cyanobacterium
Lineage: Bacteria; Bacillati; Cyanobacteriota
Description: bacterial SSU rRNA
Rfam family: Bacterial small subunit ribosomal RNA
Source: RNAcentral